GGGGCUGACAAAGCUUAGACGGGAUAUUAACAGUUGUAAGGCGCGUCGAUUAAAUACCGUAAGUAUUGAAUAAGUGCUAAAAACACUAAAACUGCGCAUGUUAUGUACAUGCCAGCUUAUGCCUAAUUAUUUCUAGGCUGGUUUUGGUCUAAGUUUUCGUAGGAUCAAAAUUAUCAUACAACGAAAAUAAGGUCGUUUGAGCGGCGAAUAAUGACACGAAAAAAUAGCCACGGCGUUUGUUAGUUUUGUUACUUGCAGCUAACAAUAUUUGCUAAGUUGAAACAAGCAACUAUGCGCGUAGAAUUAUGACCAUGUGAUGUUUCGGACCCGGAGGCAGUAUCCGGCAGCUCCACCA
This 355-nucleotide transfer-messenger RNA is filed under the name Candidatus Saccharimonadota bacterium. It matches the Rfam family "transfer-messenger RNA". Rfam says of the family: Bacterial tmRNA, also known as 10Sa RNA or SsrA, is named for its dual tRNA and mRNA-like properties. Its role is to liberate the mRNA from a stalled ribosome. To accomplish this part of the tmRNA is used as a reading frame that ends in a translation stop signal. RNAcentral also lists the same sequence under 1 other name. Lineage: Bacteria; Candidatus Saccharimonadota. The record is from RNAcentral.